RNAcentral lists this ribosomal RNA (442 nucleotides) under uncultured bacterium. RNAcentral describes it as "partial 16S ribosomal RNA". It matches the Rfam family "Bacterial small subunit ribosomal RNA", at positions 338 to 795 of the family's 1533-position model. The record is from RNAcentral.
CCUACGGGAGGCAGCAGUGGUGAAUCUUGCACAAUGGGCGCAAGCCUGAUGCAGCAACGCCGCGUGUGGGAAGAAGGCUUUCGGGUUGUAAACUACUUUUGACGGGGAAGAAUAGAAUACGGUACCUGUCGACUAAGCCAGGGCUUACUACGUGACAGCAGCCGCGGUAAUACGGAGGCGGCAAGCGUUGUCCGGAUUUACUGGGUGUAAAGGGCGGGUAGUCGGGUUGACAAGUCAGAUGUGAAAUCCCGCGGCUCAACCGUGGAACUGCAUUUGAAACUGGUAAUCUUGAGUACUGGAGAGGCAGACGGAAUUCCUGGUGUAGCGGUGAAAUGCGUAGAUAUCAGGAGGAACACCAGUGGCGAAGGCGGUCUCCUGGACAACAACUGACGCUGAGGCGCGAAAGCGUGGGGAGCAAACAGGAUUAGAUACCCGAGUAGUC